AAAGUUUGAUUUUUUCUUGUAAUUCUUAUGGUAGUUACUGAAUUUGUAUGAGAGGUGUUGCAUGUAAUAUAUGGAAGUUUAAAAUUUACAUAAGUGGGUUUAUUGAUAAUAAGAGAUUUUUAUCAAAUCUUAAUCCUCAGCAUUUAGUAUUAAAUAAUUUAAAAAAUUAAGAUUUAGCAGUAAGUUUAAGCCUAAUUAAUAUUGUGCCAGCAGUUGCGGUUAUACUCUAAGGCUAAGUGAUAAUAUAUUGGUUUGUUGUUAAGCGAUAAAAAUUAUAUUAAGGAGAAACUGGAAAAUAAAAAGGUGAAAUUGAAUUAUUUUUUACAGGAAAAAUAAAGAUUAGUAAUUAGAGCUGAAGCAAAAAAAAGUUGGAUUUAAACUAGGAUUAGAUACCCUAUUAUACCGAAAAGUAAUAUUAUACAAACCUAAGUAUUUAAAGUUAUGUACUUGAAAUUUGAAGAAUUUGGCGGUGAUUUAGUCUUGUCAGAGGAACCUGUUUUUGAAUCGAUACACCCCGAAGAAUCUUACUUAAGCUUGUUGUAGUAUGUAUACCAUCAUUAUUAGGUAAUUUUUAUAGAAUAAAUUACUGUAUAUUUGUUAAUAACGUUAAAUAUAUUAGAUCAAGGUGCAGCUAAUGCUUAAGUUAAAAUGGGUUACAAUAAAAUUUAUUUAAUACGGAAUAUCAAUUUAAACAGUUGAUUAGAAGGAGGAUUUGAUUGUAAAGUAAGUUUAAUAAGCUUAGUUAGAUAUAAGCUCUAAAUCAUGUACAUAUCGCCCGUCGCUUUCAUUAUUAAGAUGAGAUAAGUCGUAACAUAGUAGGCUUACUGGAAAGUGAGCCUGGACAGGGAGAAU
This 852-nucleotide non-coding RNA is filed under the name Scylla serrata (giant mud crab). The record is from RNAcentral. Lineage: Eukaryota; Metazoa; Arthropoda; Malacostraca; Decapoda; Portunidae.